UGUGUGUGUGUGUGUGUGUGUGUGUGUGUGUGUGUGUGUGUGUGUUGCAUACCAAAAGUACGUGAAGGGACUGUCAGGCUUCUUCUCGCCCUCGCCCUCCACCUCCACCCUACUGUCCCUUCCCAUCACCGUUUCAGCGAGGCUGGUUGACUGCAGGUUCUUGGCAAUUGCCUGUCUCUUCCAAGCAAGGCUAGGAUUAUGGGCAUGGCCAGUGUUUCUUAAAUCAAGAUGCUGAGAAUUCUAAUUCAGGCCCUCCCGUUUGCACAGUGUGAUAGUUAAUUUCAGUUGUGUCCACUCGAUGAGAUAGAGAACGACUGACGUAAGAGACAGGGCUCUGGGAAUGCCUCGGGGCCGCAGGGGAGGAGUUCCAGGGGAGGCAGGAGAUUACUGUCUUCAUUGAGUUCACUGGAAGUGGGAAACCUGCCCAACUGUGGGCGACACCAUUCCCUGGGCUAGGAACUUGGACUGUAUAUAAAGUCUUGGGUUUUUAAUAUUUAAUUAAUUUUCUAAUACCAUCUCAGCAACACUAAAUAAACGAGUUACUCAUGACUCACAGUGUAAAGUGUAGAAACUCCCUUCCUGUGAGGCCUUUUAGAAACUGCUUCUGUUUCUAAAAUAUUUCAUUCCAACUAAAUUCUGAAGAAAAUGCCCAGAAUCUCCUUCCCAAAGGCAGUCUUCUCUAGAAACACAAUGUGUUUACUCUUCUGGGCUGCAAGUGGCUACUCUUCCCUCUUCCCCUUGCUGCAACAACUUUCCUGCCUCAGUUUACACAGUCUGGAACCUUCCUCACUGCCAUGCGCACAGGCUGUGUCCUAGGUGAUUCUAGACCUAUCAGGUUCACAAUCAGUAUCAACCACAACAGGAGAAGUUAAAAUGUUCUAGAAUAAGCCGCAGAGGACUAGAGGUUCAAAAUAAACAAGCAAAAAGACUUCAGAGCAGGGUGUGGAGGCACAGGCACAGGGCAUGGUGCCUCAUGACUUGGUAGACUGAGGAAGAAGGAGCAGAAGUCGAAGCCCUCUGUGACAUGCAAGUUCGAUGCCAACUUGGGCCACACACACAUUGGUCUCAAUGAACAAACCAUGAGCAGACAGCAUCUCCAGAAGGCUCACACAGGAAGAGACUCCAUACCAGAACAUACGGGAGGGAGGAGCAGGAAGUCCCUGAUUCGAAGGAUGCUCUGAGCCCAGCCUCCUUCUCCAUCCCUUCCUCCACCCGCUCCCUCAACUUCAGGACCUAUGACUGGAGACAGAGACCGUGCUCCAGACUUUGCAAUCAGAGAUGUUUUCACCCAAAGGUAAUGGACAUGCAGGACUUAGAAAGUCAAAGCUGGUCUCGGCUGGGGAGGUAAUCACACAGUCAAACUGGUUCAGCCAGACAGCCUGCCAAUUCUGGGUUUCUGCUCCGGGCUUCUAAAGGUGACCAAGCAAGUCCUCGGAUAAGAAUGCAAGUGAGCAAAAUAACAAAUUCUUCUGAUACGACCUUUUCUUUCUCUGAAACACGAUCUCACUGCCUAGCUCUUGCUAGCGUGAAACUCACUCUGUAGACCAGGCUAGCCUCUAACUCACGGAGAUCCGCCUGCUUCUUCCUCCCAAGCGAUGGGCUUUUGUUAGGAUAUAAUACCUUAGUCCUCAAAGUCUCCAGGAAGACAGACAGCAGAGGCCUGGACCUAGCUGUCCCUGGAGAAGCUGCAGGACAGGUGCAGCUAUAAUGGCCUGUGCAAGAAGGAAGCUUCCUGGAGCACACAUGCGGCCAGAAGCAUCAGAAGGGCCCACUGUGGUCCGGGCCAGCUCCUGUUACAAGUCAGAUGUUGGAGGGAUUUGAGAGAGUCACUUCAUUCCUUCUGACUCUCGUUGGUUCUAUCACACAAGCGGCUUCCAAACCUACCUUUAAGGUUCAGGCACAAAAGCUUCAGGAAGUCAAGCGUCUGUUUUCAAGAUGGGUAUAAAGGACCGUACUAGCUUGCAGAGAAAUGGCUGCACUUUCAUAGACACAGAAGAAGGCUCCUACCCAACAGGUACGGACAACUCCCCCUGCAUGCUGCUCAAAACAGCUAUGAAUGUGGUCCAACACAGAGCUAUACACUUAUUUAAAACAUGAGAGUGUGUGUGUGUGUGUACACACGCACGCAUACACACAUACACACAUGUGUUUCUGUGUGUGAAACUCCAGUUAGAAUUUUUCUUGUGUCACAGCACACAUGAGAAGGUCAGAGGUCAACCUGAGGAGUCAGAUCUCCUUCCACCAUGCAGUCUCAGGGAUGCUUGUCAGACUUGAUGGUGAAGUACCUUACCCACUAAGCCAUCUUACCAGUCCUGACAUCAUUUCCAUUGUGAACUUGGUAGAUGACACUCCACUUUCAGCUUUCCUUUUCCGUCACUGUCUAGUCAGGGGUCAGAUCUCCAAAACGAGCCCUACAAUCAGCCUUCCAGAGUUGGCCUGGAGUGCUCACCCUUCGCUCGCCUCGUUAGAAGAAUCCCAUGCACACGCUGAAGCCAGCUGAGAAUCCCUGCUAAGCUUUCGGGCAGCUGGGAGAAGCAAAGUUGGAUCCCUGCCUAAAUCCCUGGGAGAGCCCACGCUCUGUUGCCAGCACCUUGACUGGAACAUCAAUAUUGGACAUCUGGCCUCGGACCUAGGAAAGAACGUUGGUAUUGUUUUUGACCACCAAAUUGUGGCUUAGGAAACUAAUACCCUCAUUAAUCACUCCCUCUAUUUUUCUCAAAAGCAAUCUACACGAGCCAGUAUUGUCGCCAGCGUGUGAACAAAGAGAGCCGACUCCUGGGUAGAGCAGCACACUCCAAGGCAUAGGCAUGGGACAGAGCCAGGUAUGGACCACAUCCAUGUCACCUUCUAAAAAUGCCUUACUGGCUCCAACGAACCGACACAUGGCUCGUUAGCCUUCAGGAAGAAUCUAGAAAUGCUGCCCCAGUAACAUUCAGCAAGCAGAGGGAGCUCUCGGCCUGUCCAUCGACAGUGACACUGUCACCAUGGCGGCCCUCUACCCUCCAUCCUCUUCAGCAUUGAAGCUGUUACGGCUUUAAUGUAAGACAUCUCAGGUCCACGCGAUGGGACAGUCUCCACCUUGUGGCACUGCUUUGGGAGGUUGUGAACCGUGACAUGAUGGGGUCUGGCCGGAGGAUGUGGGUCACUAAAUAAACAGGCUUUGAGGUUUAACUAGUGGCUCCAAGUCAACUCCUCUGCCCUUGAUUUGCUGAGGUGUGAGCAAGCUCUUCCUGCCACAGAGCUGCCUGCCACCGCGACGCCUCCACCAUGUCUCCUAAAACAAGAUAAGCCUCUUCUAAACUGCUUCAAAGCCCUUGACAACUGCACCAGGCAAAAGAGCUAUGUAAGGAAAAGCCGUAGCUGGCCUUCCCUAAGGCAUCUCUCAUUUCACUGUAACCCCAGAACUGCUGCUAGCAUCCCGAAGUGUGCAUUAUGUGCCUACCCCGGUGGUGCUCCUGACAAGCUGCUACUAGAAACCAGACAUGGAGGAUUAUGGGUAAUGGAGGUUCUCAAUGAACACAUCACUCACCAUUCAAGUCUGAAAUACACCUCCACCUCCACACUUCACUAUAAUACCAACCCAAUUAAUAACGAUCGGUGGGAAUUAUGAAACAUCUGUUGAACAUACUGGUGUGGAGACCAGGAUUCUACUCAGGAAAGGAUGCAGUGACAGCUACCAGAAGGGCACAGUACCCUGUGAAAUAAUCACCGAAGACUUGAAAUGAUACUCAACUUGUGAUGCCUGAUCACGAGGGACAUGCAAAUCAAGCCACAAUGUGAUAUCAUUCCAGUCACUCAGACGGCCAUCAUCAGAGCACAGGGGGCGGGGUGGGGGGGAUGCGUGACAAGGCUGUGGAGAAAUCGGAGCCCUUGUUGGGCAACCUUGGAAACAGCAUGUGGUGUAUCAGGAAAUUCAGUAUAGAAGCCACUGCAAUCCGUCAAUCCCUCAUCUGGGUUAAGACCUGAAGGACGUGAAUGGAUACUUGUGCGCCUGAUUGAUAGAAGCAUUGUUCACAGAAGUCAACAGAUAGAAGGAUGGCUGGGAGAUGCCUCCCUCACACGCUGGGCCACGACUGCUCUUGCAGAGGACAUGGUUUUGGUUCCCAGCACCCACACUGGCCAGCUAACAAACCCCUGUAAGUCUAGCUCCAGGAAAUCCAGUGUUCUCUGCCGGCUUCUGAAGGCACCUACAUUUGUGUGCACAUACUCUCACAUAUAUAAUAAAA
Molecule: small RNA, 4226 nt
Filed under: Rattus norvegicus (Norway rat)
Lineage: Eukaryota; Metazoa; Chordata; Mammalia; Rodentia; Muridae
Description: uncharacterized LOC102552925
Source: RNAcentral